UGAAUCUUGAUGAUGCUGCAC
Molecule: microRNA, 21 nt
Filed under: Oryza sativa (Asian cultivated rice)
Lineage: Eukaryota; Viridiplantae; Streptophyta; Magnoliopsida; Poales; Poaceae
Also listed under: 3 other names
Description: osa-miR172c
Gene: osa-miR172c
Source: miRBase by way of RNAcentral